Anas platyrhynchos (mallard) is the source of this 818-nucleotide long non-coding RNA. RefSeq lists it as uncharacterized. Lineage: Eukaryota; Metazoa; Chordata; Aves; Anseriformes; Anatidae. The record is from RefSeq and is a predicted model, not a curated record.
CCACAUUUUCUCAGCCUUCCUUCUGUCAUUUAUGUACAGUUUCCAUAAAUUAUGAUAGAAACUGUAUCUGUAUAUGAAAAUGUGAUGUUCUGGAAACCUUCUUUGAAUUAUGAAGGUGGAGCUGAAGCUAACAAAACAGAAGAAAAUUAAUCUGAUCUUCAACCUCAGCUAAUUUCCAAACAUUUGAGGAUCCUGCCAACAGACAGGCUUGAGCAUCAACACAGCUUAUAUAACUUCAGCCAUUGGAUUACCUUUUACUGCUGUUCAAGUACCUUCUCAUUGAACAUCCCUGCUCCAAACUCAAGUGAACUACAAUGAACAGUAUUUCAGCCAAAACUGUGUCUCAAAAUAAGCAUUCCAGUUCACUGCUGCUUCUUCCAUGGUUAAAGGCAAAUGCUAUGAUAAACAGAAUGGGGAUCAAACAAGCAUGCAGAAACAGAGCACUGAUCAUUGAAACAACAAUGGUUCUGACUCAUUCAAUACCAGCAAAGCUUAAGGAAAUCCUGCAAGAAGUGAGAAUUCGCCAUCCAGCAAGGUGUUUUGCAAAAGUGUACAUGUAAUUCUGAAAUGGUACUGAAGGUCAUUGUCAGAGAUAUACAAACUCAGUGGAUCUGAGGACAACUGCAGUAGCAAAGACUGAUUCCCUGUAAAAUCUUGUGGGCCGUGAGAUAUUCACAUCUUGCAAUCAGUUAACAUUCUCUCUUUCAAUCUUUCAUCUUGCCUGGUAGUAAAGUGGAACGAACAACCUCGGUCAUUUAAAAAUAAUAAUAAUAAUAAAAAGAAUGUCUUAAUUUCUCAGUCUUACCCACAGACAUGGA